This 988-nucleotide ribosomal RNA is filed under the name Ergasilus sp. SYB-2016. Its description in RNAcentral is "SSU rRNA". It matches the Rfam family "Eukaryotic small subunit ribosomal RNA", at positions 81 to 1067 of the family's 1831-position model. The record is from RNAcentral. Lineage: Eukaryota; Metazoa; Arthropoda; Copepoda; Poecilostomatoida; Ergasilidae.
GUGAAACCGCGAAUGGCUCAUUAAAUCACACCUAAUGCACUGGAUAGUUUCAGUUACUUGGAUAACUGCGGUAAUUCUGGAGCUAAUACAUGCGACACAGCCCCGACGCAAGGAGGGGCGCUUUUAUUAGAUCAAAACCAAACGGGUUCUGCCCGUAUCACUGGUGAUUCUGAAUAACUUUCGGCUGAUCGCACGGCCUUGCGCCGGCGACGUAUCCUUCCAAGGUGUGCCCUAUCAACUGUCGACUGUGGCAUAGACGUCCACAGUGGUUUUGACGGGUAACGGGGAAUUAGGGUUCGAUUCCGGAGAGGGAGCCUGAGAAACGGCUACCACUUCUAAGGAAGGCAGCAGGCACGCAAAUUACCCAAUGGUCGACGACCGAGGUAGUGACGAAAAAUAACGAUACCGGACUCUUAUGAGGCUCGGUAAUUGGAAUGAGUACACUUUAAAUCCUUUAACGAGGAACAAUUGGAGGGCAAGUCUGGUGCCAGCAGCCGCGGUAAUUCCAGCUCCAAUAGCGUAUAUCAAAGUUGUUGCGGUUAAAAAGCUCGUAGUUGGAUCUCGGCGGACAGGGGGUGGCUCGGCUUAUGCCAUGCUGCCCCAUUCGUCCGUGAUUUUUGACGGAGGCUCCAGGUUGCCCUUUACUGUGAGUGUCUGGUGCGCCGUCAGGUUUACUUUGAAAAAAUUAGAGUGCUCAAAGCAGGCUUUACACGCUUGAAUAUUCGUGCAUGGAAUAAUGGAAUAGGAAGUCGUUCCUAUUUUGUUGGUUUUCGGGAAUUGACUUAAUGAUUAAUAGGGACAGCCGGGGGCAUUAGUAUUCAGACGACAGAGGUGAAAUUCUUGGACCGUCUGAAGACUAACUACUGCGAAAGCAUUUGCCAAGAGUGUUUUCAUUAAUCAAGAACGAAAGUUAGAGGUUCGAAGGCGAUCAAAUACCGCCCUAGUUCUAACCAUAAACGAUGCCAGCUAGCGAUCCGCAGGUGUUAUU